CAGGCUCUCAACCAGGAGAAUGUGCUGUCUUCUCAGUAUGCCAGAUAUUGGUUUACAUGUUGGAAACUUAACUUCCAGUGCAACAGUGUUGUGAGCAAGAAGGCCCUCACUAGAUGUAGCCUCUCAGUGUUGGACUUCCCAGCCUCCAGAACUGUGAACCAACUCCAUGUUGGUUGUUGGUUCCAUCCUUCGUCCUUCUUCAUCCUCUACAAGACAAUAUUGCUCACCUUUUGCCCAGCAAUCUGGGCACUGAAUUGGUGGUCAAAUUCCAGUCAAAUUGCAAGUUUCUUGCUGCCACUCACCUGGAGCAGCACUCUCUGCUCUACUGAGCACUUUCUUCCUGGAGACCAUAUCUCCCAGAAUGCCACUGGCUACUACCAGAUACCCUGAGCUUUCUUGUCACUAGUUUCUAGGAACGGCUGUCUCUGUCCUUUCAAAUAAAGUUGGCAAAUGAAGUAGGGGACAGAAAGAAUGAUUUGGCUGCCUCAAAAAUCAGCACCUAUGCAUGACAACAAUGGUUCUCAAAUUAUAGGUGUAUCAAAAUCAUCUGCAGGUGAUUCUGGGUCCCAUGCACAAAGUGUCUGAUUCUAACAAGUUCUCCAGUAAUGCUGAUUCUGCUGGUCUGAGACUACACAUGAAGACUCACGGCAGUAGAAGAACAUAUGUCCUUUUCUCUGAUUGGUAAGACCCUUGAGUCAAAGAAGACAGUAGUGAAAGUGAAGAGUACCUUUUUAUUUUUUUCUGGGCAGGCUUUAUAGAAUGAAGCCAAACUUAAGCAGAUUUUCUCUGGGUAGAAGAAAUUUAAAACUUCUAGCAUAAAUUCAUCUGUUGGCUUUGGCUUUUAGUAGUCGUCAUUAUGGAUAUUUCAGUGAGAAAUUACAGUUUAAGGGCUGCUAGCUAGACACUGUUUUAAACCAGAAGUUUGUAAAUAUCAUUUUUAGAAAUAACAAUAUUCCUUCAGAUGAAUAUUCUAUAAUUGCUCCAUCAUUCUCCUAAUGUUAUGUACUCUUAGGCUAUUAUCAGUUUUUCAGUAUUAAUAGAUGGAGUCACAUUAAACACCUUUGUAAAUGAGGUCAUUUCUGCAUUUUUAGAUUGUUUCCUCAGAUAGAUUAUGAAAAAAAAUUAUAUAACUGCUCUCAUGGAUAAAGAUACAAAUUGCCAAAUUGUUUCCUCAAAAGGGUAUCAUAGCAAUCAAAAAUAGGAUAUUCUCACAGAGGGAAAAACAAUAUUUUGCUAAUUUAAUAUAGAAUAAAGAGUAGUAUCUCAUUAUUAUUUUGGUUUGCUUUUUCUUACAUUUUUCUUGUCAAGGAAUAUGCCUCCUGCCACUGCACAUGAUGAAACUUUUCCUAGAAGCAGGCACACACCCAAACUAGGAUAACAAAAGAGGUCUUUGAUAAUAAAAUUUUAGGAGAAAAAGAGGCCAGAUUUUCUUUCAUCAUAAUAAUAUACAGAA
Molecule: long non-coding RNA, 1453 nt
Filed under: Homo sapiens (human)
Lineage: Eukaryota; Metazoa; Chordata; Mammalia; Primates; Hominidae
Description: HSALNT0052222
Source: RNAcentral